GAACGCUGGCGGCAGGCUUAACACAUGCAAGUCGAGCGGGCACUUUCGGGUGUCAGCGGCGGACGGGUGAGUAACGCGUGGGAACGUGCCCUCUGGUUCGGAAUAACUCAGGGAAACUUGAGCUAAUACCGGAUACGCCCUUUUGGGGAAAGGCUUGCUGCCGGAGGAUCGGCCCGCGUCUGAUUAGCUAGUUGGUGAGGUAACGGCUCACCAAGGCGACGAUCAGUAGCUGGUCUGAGAGGAUGAUCAGCCACACUGGGACUGAGACACGGCCCAGACCCCGCCGGAGGGGGGGGGUGGGGAAGAUGGGGGAAGGGGCGCAAGCCUGAUGCAGCGAGGGUGCGUGGGGGAGGAAGGCGUUAGGGCUGACAUGCUCUGUGCUCCGGGAAGAGAAUGGCGGUACCGGAGGAAUUCGCCCCGGACAACUUCGUGCCAGCAGCCGCGUGAAGAGGCGACGCGCACACGUCUGAUC
This 472-nucleotide ribosomal RNA is filed under the name uncultured bacterium. RNAcentral's name for it is "partial 16S ribosomal RNA". It matches the Rfam family "Bacterial small subunit ribosomal RNA", at positions 37 to 537 of the family's 1533-position model. The record is from RNAcentral.